RNAcentral lists this ribosomal RNA (253 nucleotides) under uncultured bacterium. RNAcentral's name for it is "partial 16S ribosomal RNA". It matches the Rfam family "Bacterial small subunit ribosomal RNA", at positions 524 to 776 of the family's 1533-position model. The record is from RNAcentral.
UACGUAGGGCGCAAGCGUUGUCCGGAAUUAUUGGGCGUAAAGAGCUCGUAGGCGGUUUGUCGCGUCUGCUGUGAAAACCUAAGGCUCAACCUUGGGCUUGCAGUGGGUACGGGCAGACUAGAGUGCGGUAGGGGUGACUGGAAUUCCUGGUGUAGCGGUGGAAUGCGCAGAUAUCAGGAGGAACACCGAUGGCGAAGGCAGGUCACUGGGCCGCAACUGACGCUGAGACGCGAAAGCGUGGGGAGCAAACAGG